RNAcentral lists this ribosomal RNA (470 nucleotides) under uncultured bacterium. RNAcentral describes it as "partial 16S ribosomal RNA". It matches the Rfam family "Bacterial small subunit ribosomal RNA", at positions 28 to 507 of the family's 1533-position model. The record is from RNAcentral.
GACGAACGCUGGCGGCGUGCUUAACACAUGCAAGUCGAACGAGAUCCAAUGUGUAGCAAUACACAGGAAGAUCUAGUGGCGAACGGGUGAGGAACACGUGAGAAACGUACCUCAGACUUUGGGAUAACAGUCCGAAAGGACUGCUAAUACCAAAUAACGUCGGAAGUCCGCAUGGACAUCUGACGAAAGGGAUUCCGGUUUGGGAGCGUCUCGCGGACCUAUCAGCUAGUUGGAGGGGUAACGGCCCACCAAGGCAACGACGGGUAGCUGGUCUGAGAGGAUGGUCAGCCACACUGGGACUGAGACACGGCCCAGACUCCUACGGGAGGCAGCAGUGGGGAAUCUUGCGCAAUGGGCGAAAGCCUGACGCAGCAACGCCGCGUGCGGGAAGAAGGCUUUCGGGCUGUAAACCGCUUUCAGUAGGAACGAAACUGACGGUACCUACAGAAGAAGGAGCGGCCAACUAUGUG